This 895-nucleotide long non-coding RNA is filed under the name Elaeis guineensis (African oil palm). Its description in RNAcentral is "long non-coding RNA (EGUI_LNC003671)". The record is from RNAcentral. Lineage: Eukaryota; Viridiplantae; Streptophyta; Magnoliopsida; Arecales; Arecaceae.
AAACCUUUUUUUCUAAUCCAACUUGAUAGGCCCAAAUGAUUCAACAAUAGUAGUGUUGAGCUUGUGAACAAAGUAUCUAGAUGCUCAUGAAACAAGGGCAAUCAAAAAAAAAUGAUCAAUGUUUUUUAUUUUCAAACUUACAGAGAGUAUACAUAGUAAGUAUUGGCUGAUUCCUAUUUCAUAGAUUUCCAACUAGCAAGCAUUCCUUCUCAAAAGGUAGUGGGACACUUUCAUGUUUGUUGUAAUAGAAACAGGCAAAUAAUUAGAUUAUUCCAUCAUAAUUAAGAGUCACAUGACAAUUAUUGAUCACAAAGGCUCUAUAUCUUUACUAUCUCCAAUAUAUUUCAUCUCCUUAUAAACUUAGAUUUAUUUCUUGAAGUUCAUUAAAAAGCUAAAAGAUCUCAACAUCAAAUAAAUCUAUGAUUUUAUUGUAAAUUGAAAAUUCCAAUGUUGCAAAGUGAGAGAAGGGAAUGCUUAAAGAUAAAUAAAUAAAAUAUUUCACCAGAAGUUAUGCAAGCUGUGGGCACACUAGAAGGAAAAAGAACUUGUUAGCCAUCUUCUUGUAUGACCUGCAAAAUAGAGCUUCACCAACACCAACACAACUAGAAUUUUCAGGUGAAAUCAUUUUCAUUAAUAUUCGAUGUUGAAUUAGAUUUCCAAGGUAUCUUGAAUCAUCCAAAAUGGAGAAUGGGCGAGGGAGAAAAAUAAAAAGAGAUGGUGGGUGCCUUACAGCAGAUAAACUCAUCCAUAGAAAAGUUUAUUUUAAGGACUCCACAAACCAACUUGAUGAGGAAGUUGCAUCAACGCGAGGGAGCACAUUGCAAGCCUUGAUAACUCAAUAAACAAAUACCGCCCAACUUGCCCAAGAACUGGAAGAUGACUCCUCCACAAAAAC